UGGGUGUAGUCGCUCUCCAGCUGCGCCCACACGUCGGGCGCCAGGAGCCGGAGGCAGCGGCUCCGCGGGCAGAGCCAGCCUUCAGAUUCCAUAUUCCUUAAGGACACUGCGAGUCCAUAAAUUGGCUUGGCUGAGAAGGUGAAAAGCAGGAACCUGAUCUUAAGGACUAGUGGAGCACAGUUUCAUGUCUCUGGAUGAUGCAGCAACCUGAGGGCAGAAGACCACCCCACUGGGCGGCCCCCACCAACAGGCUCAGCCAGGCAGACUGGACAGGGGAGGGGCGGAUGCUCCUGGGGAAGAGCCGCAGUCACCAUGGACACUGCCUCAACGCAGACCCUCCAAGGGGCUUCCACCUGGACUGUCGCUGCAUCCUGACUCCGUGUCCUCUCUUCCGUCCCCUCGGCCUGAGCAGCUGCUGCACCUAGCACUCUGAGGAGCACAGACGGCAUUGGCCCUGGGGCCUGUCUGACAGCACCCUGCAUAGUGACAUCCGCUAGAGAGC
RNAcentral lists this long non-coding RNA (502 nucleotides) under Heterocephalus glaber (naked mole-rat). Its description in RNAcentral is "lncRNA (ENSHGLG00100039576.1)". The record is from RNAcentral. Lineage: Eukaryota; Metazoa; Chordata; Mammalia; Rodentia; Bathyergidae.